Molecule: ribosomal RNA, 460 nt
Filed under: uncultured bacterium
Lineage: Bacteria
Description: partial 16S ribosomal RNA
Rfam family: Bacterial small subunit ribosomal RNA
Source: RNAcentral
CCUACGGGUGGCAGCAGUGAGGAAUAUUGGUCAAUGGGCUUACGCCUGAACCAGCCAAGUCGCGUGAGGGAAGACUGCCCUAUGGGUUGUAAACCUCUUUUGUCAGGGAGCAACGCCGGCUACGUGUAGCCGGACUGAGAGUACCUGAAGAAAAAGCAUCGGCUACCUCCGUGCCAGCAGCCGCGUUAAUACGGAGGAUGCGAGCGUUAUCCGGAUUUAUUGGGUUUAAAGGGUGCGUAGGCGGAAUGCCAAGUCAGCGGUAAAAUCGCGGGGCUCAACCUCGCUCCGCAGUUGAAACUGGCGGUCUUGAGUGGGCGAGAGGUAUGCGGAAUGCGUGGUGUAGCGGUGAAAUGCAUAGAUAUCACGAAGAACUCCGAUUGCGAAGGCAGCAUACCGGCGCCCAACUGACGCUGAAGCACGAAAGCGUGGGUAUCGAACAGGAUUAGAUACCCUUGUAGUC